GGCGCUGUACCCAAGUGGCUAGGGGGAAGUCUGCAAAACUUUUUACUCCGGUUCGAAUCCGGACAGCGCCU
This 71-nucleotide transfer RNA is filed under the name Candidatus Auribacterota bacterium. Its description in RNAcentral is "tRNA-Cys". It matches the Rfam family "tRNA". From Rfam's summary of the family: Transfer RNA (tRNA) molecules are approximately 80 nucleotides in length. Lineage: Bacteria; Pseudomonadati; Candidatus Auribacterota. The record is from RNAcentral.